ACAAUCUCUCCUAAAUCGAGUUCAGGGUACAUGGAUUCCAUUUAUCCUUGGGUCUUUUCAAACCAUUUCUCUAUAGCAAUGUAGGCUUCCAUUUUUUUUUCUAAAUCUGCCUCCAUGUUGCUUAGGAUGUUGGUAGAGGAUUCAUAUGCAUCCUUGAAUGUCUUUAUCUUGUCUCCUUGAUCUUUGAUCACUUCGUCGUUCUUCUUCUU
RNAcentral lists this long non-coding RNA (209 nucleotides) under Lathyrus oleraceus (garden pea). Its description in RNAcentral is "Pisum sativum (pea) long non-coding RNA (PSAT_LNC010016)". The record is from RNAcentral. Lineage: Eukaryota; Viridiplantae; Streptophyta; Magnoliopsida; Fabales; Fabaceae.